GUACGAAUCAUUGAUCGUCGGACCGAAGUUCAUAUGGAUCAAGAUAUCCAUAAUGCAGCGUAUUAUCUAAACCCGGCAAUUCAAUAUCGAUAUGCUCUCGGAACGCAAAAUAAUUUCCUAACGACACUACGAAAUGUUAUAUAUCGACUCUUGCCAAACACUACCGAGGCAGCCGAUGCUCUUAUGGAGGGUCGAUUAUUUCGAGAAACAGUUGGUUCAUUCUCCGACGUUGUAGCUAUAUCAUGCCGUUACACUAUGGAUCCUGUCGAGUGGUGGUUACAAUUUGGAGGCGAUGCACCACAUUUAAGGAAGGUUGCCGUUCGUGUACUUUCACAGACAACAACAUCUAGUGGUUGCGAACGUAAUUGGUCAACGUUUGCGUUGAUUCAUACGAAAGUCCGCAACAGACUCUCCUACAGACGGUUAGAGAAACUAGUAUAUGUCCAUUAUAAUAUGCGGCUAAAAUUGCGAUGUGCUGAGUUGGAUAAGGAGCCAGAGGAACCAGAUAUUGAUCCCAUUGACCUCCAAUUCUACAACGAAGAUUCAGAGCCAAUGUUAGAUUGGGUUG
Long non-coding RNA from Musa acuminata AAA Group (dessert banana), 568 nucleotides. RefSeq lists it as uncharacterized. The transcript has 3 exons. The record is from RefSeq and is a predicted model, not a curated record. Lineage: Eukaryota; Viridiplantae; Streptophyta; Magnoliopsida; Zingiberales; Musaceae.